RNAcentral lists this transfer RNA (73 nucleotides) under Staphylococcus aureus. RNAcentral's name for it is "tRNA-Ala". It matches the Rfam family "tRNA". Rfam says of the family: Transfer RNA (tRNA) molecules are approximately 80 nucleotides in length. Their secondary structure includes four short double-helical elements and three loops (D, anti-codon, and T loops). Lineage: Bacteria; Bacillati; Bacillota; Bacilli; Caryophanales; Staphylococcaceae. The record is from RNAcentral. RNAcentral also lists the same sequence under 1 other name.
GGCUUAGCUCAGCUGGGAGAGCGCCUGCUUUGCACGCAGGAGGUCAGCGGUUCGAUCCCGCUAGUCUCCACCA